UCUGCACAUGCACAGACGGACAGCACAUUCAAAGAUCACUCUUCAGCGAUCGGCGCCAUUUUUGAAUCAGACGAAGAUCACAGUGCCAAACGAGGAACGUUUUCUUUGUGGAAACACAGAGUUGUAGAGUCCUACAUGUGGCUGUGCAGAGAUUGUGGUUCCUCUCACACAUCCAGAUCAAAUCCAGCACUCUUUGUAGAGCAAUAGUUGGUUUACAACAAUCCCUUUGGUCUCCAAAUAUAUGGGACUGCUCGAUCAUUUCUCAAACCAAAGAAAGGAGCAGCAGCACAGAAGAUCACAUACAUCCUGUCAGUUAUGGCUCAGAAUGUUUCCAUCGGCAAAAAAUGUGUAUGCAUCCUGAAAGCCCUGGCUGUCUGCCUGAAGGAAGACCCCUCAAGCCUUGUGAAGGAGUACAUGAAUGUUGAACAUGUUGAAGCCCUAACCUCAAUGCGCAACACCACGCUGGGAAUCUAUGUCAUCAUACAGAUGCUACAGGCCU
Molecule: long non-coding RNA, 499 nt
Organism: Sinocyclocheilus grahami
Lineage: Eukaryota; Metazoa; Chordata; Actinopteri; Cypriniformes; Cyprinidae
Exons: 5
Source: RefSeq, a predicted model, not a curated record